Molecule: long non-coding RNA, 3231 nt
Organism: Oncorhynchus keta (chum salmon)
Lineage: Eukaryota; Metazoa; Chordata; Actinopteri; Salmoniformes; Salmonidae
Exons: 4
Source: RefSeq, a predicted model, not a curated record
AGAGAGAGAGAGAGAGAGAGAGAGAGAGAGAGAGAGAGAGAGAGAGAGAGAGAGAGAUGGCUUGUGUAUGAGUGAUUGAGUGUCCAACAUGCAUCCUGCCACUGAGGUGCAUUUUUGGACAGACUGAACACCUCUGGACGACUACUGUUUCAGACUGAUAGCAGCACCGCAGACCCAUCAGACAGACACAGAGGGAGAGGACACUGAUCCAAUCUUGGCAAAAAUGAGCUUGGCUCGGAUCCAUGAUAAACACAAGCUAAAGAAAUACUGGGAGGAGAAAAUCGAACGUCACAGCGAUAUAAUGGGGAGUGAGGAAUCCAGAAUGAAGAGCAGUGCCUUAUCAAAGCUGCGGGACGAGUGGCUCAGGAGGCUGAAGCUUCGGAACCAGCAACUGGAGCAUUUCGAAGAGAAACACAUCAGGAGGGGCAAGAUGUCCCAACAGGCCUUCAAGAUACCCAGUCAAUGACUACUCAAAUCUACAUUCUAGAAUCUACAUCAUUCUAAGCCAUCUGACUGAGGUCAUGACAUGUAGAUUAGCCUGGCUGCCAUCUCUUGUUUAGAUACGACAUUCCACUCAUUGCAACUCCUGUCAUUUGCCAAAGACAAUCUUUGGCAAAUGACGGGAGUGACAAGGAGUGGAUUAUUAGCUAAAAAAAAGACUGGUACUCAGACUAAUGAUGUAGGGUUAACUAGGACUAGCUUCUCCAUUUCAGAUGAUGACAUUACGACUAUAGAUUGAGGGGAAAUACUGUAACUGAAGUGAAGUUUACUUCUUGCGAGGGAGACUGUAUGGCAGAAAGUCAAAUGGAUGGGAUGUCGCCGAAUGAUUAGUUGCAGAGCCAUGCUGUACAGACUUUGUCAUUAACACUCAUGUCGUAGUUUUGAGGCGACCAUCUGUUGUGCAGUUAAAUAAGUGCAGGGGAGUAUGUGAAGACUUGACUGUACAUCAGAGUGACAGUCGUGGUGACAGGUGGGGUAAUUAUUUGAUUUUUGUGUCGAAGGAAUAUACAACGUGAUCGGGAGGAAACAUGAUGAAGAUUGACAGAAUAUGCAUCACCAUGAUCCUACAUCCUACUGCAUCGCCAUGAUCCUACAUCUUACAGCAUCACCAUGAUCCUACAUCCUACAGCAUCACCAUGAUCCUACAUCCCUCAGCAUCACCAUGAUCCUACAUCCUACAGCAUCACCAUGAUCCUACAUCCUACAGCAUCGCCAUGAUCCUACAUCCCUCAGCAUCACCAUGAUCCUACAUCCUACAGCAUCACCAUGAUCCUACAUCCUACAGCAUCGCCAUGAUCCUACAUCCCUCAGCAUCACCAUGAUCCUACAUCCUACAGCAUCACCAUGAUCCUACAUCCUACAGCAUCACCAUGACCAUAUUUGAGAAGUGUACAAUCAUACAUUAUCAAUGGCCAAGGAGACAGCUUCUGAUCAAAAUAGAAAUGAUUGGACCGAAAGUACAAGAUUGGGAGAUGGUACAGUAUAACAUUACGGAGUAUGGCAUUACAGAGUCAUUUACUCCUGAGGUGCUGACCUGUUGCACCCUCUAUAACGACAGUGAUUAUUAUUUGACCCUGCUGGUCAUCUACAGUGCCUUGAGAAAGCAUUAAUGCCCCUUGACUUAUUCUACGUUCUGUUGUGUUACAGCCAGAAUUCAAAAUGGAUUAAAUUCAUUUCUCUCUCUCUCUCUCUCACCCAUCUACACACAAUACCCCAUAUUGACAAAUGGAAUACAUUUUUUUAGACAUUUUAGCUCAUUUAUUGAUAAUGAAAUACAGAAGUAUCUCCUUUACAUAAGUAUUCCCGCCCCUGAGUCAAAACUUUGUAGAAGCACCUUUGGCAGCGAUUACAUCUGUGAGUCUUUCUGGGUAAGUCUCCAAGAUUUUUCCACACCUGGAUUGUGCCCAUUAUUCUUCUCAGAAUUCAUGUUUUGCAAUAUGUUUAUUCUGUAAAGGCUUCCUUAUUUUCCCACUGUCAUGCAGGUUAGUAUUGUGGAGUAGCAACAAUGUUGUCAAUCCUUCCUCAGUUUUCUCCUAUCACAGCCAUUAAACUUUUAAAGUCGCCAUUGGCCACAUGGUGAAGUUCCCUGAGCGAUUUCCUUCCUCUCCGGUAACUGAGUUAGGAAGGACGCCUGUAACUUUGUAGUGACUGGAUGUAUUGAUACUUCAUUCGAAGUGUAAUUAAUAACUUCACCAUGCUCCAUGGGAUAUGCAAUAUCUGAUUUUCUACCAAUAGGUGCCCUACUUUGCGAGGCAUAUGGAAAAACUCCCUGGUCUUUGUGGUUGAAUCUGUGUUUGAAAUUCACUGCUCGACUGAGGGACCUUACAGAUUAUUGUAUAUGUGGAGUACAGAGAUGAGGUAGUCAUUCAAAAAUCAUGUUAAACACUAUUGCACACACAGUGUCACGGUCUUCCUCCUCUUCAUCUGAAGAGGAGAGGCGAGAAGGAUCAGAGGACCAAUAUGCGGCGUGGUAUGUGUUCAUGGUGAAUUUUAAUAAAGAAAACACUGAACACUGCAACACUAUACAAAAACAAUAAACCAAUGAGGACCGUGACGCUACAAAUGAGACCUGUGCUGAACACAAGCCACUAACAUAGACAAUCACCCACAAACAAACAGUGCAACCCAGGCUACCGAAGUAUGAUUCUCAAUCAGAGACAACUAAUGACACCUGCCUCUGAUUGAGAACCAUACUAGGCCCGAAACAUAGAAAUCCCAAAUCAUAGAAAAUAAAACAUAGACUGCCCACCCAACUCACGCCCUGACCAUACUAAAUAAAUACAAAACAAAGGAAAUAAAGGUCAGAACGUGACACACAGUGAGUCCAUGCAACUUACUAUGUGACUUUUAAGCACAUUUUUACUCCUGAACUUAUUUAGGCUUUCCAAAACAUAGGGGUUGAAUACUUAUUGACAAGACAUUUCAGUUCUUGUUGUUGUUCUUUCAUUUGUAAAAGUUGCAAAAAACAUAUUCCACUUCACCAUGAUGUGUUAUUGUGUGUAGGCCAGUGACAAACAAUAUCAAUUGAAUUCGGUCUGUAACACAACAACAUGUGGAAGAAAUCAAGAUGUGUGAAUACUUUCUGAAGGCACUGUAAGUGUAACAGAGAUAAGAGUUUUAGGACACAAACAGCUUAAAACUAAAAGCAAUGCAGGCAACAUUCCAAGCAUGGACUGAACGUCCAACUGUCUUUUGUUUGGCUCAAUGUCUAAUUUCGUAACUACUGUUCAU